This 1007-nucleotide non-coding RNA is filed under the name Mollisia scopiformis. RNAcentral's name for it is "Phialocephala scopiformis Eukaryotic large subunit ribosomal RNA". It matches the Rfam family "Eukaryotic large subunit ribosomal RNA", at positions 1 to 1189 of the family's 3401-position model. The record is from Rfam by way of RNAcentral. Lineage: Eukaryota; Fungi; Ascomycota; Leotiomycetes; Helotiales; Mollisiaceae.
UGACCUCGGAUCAGGUAGGGAUACCCGCUGAACUUAAGCAUAUCAAUAAGCGGAGGAAAAGAAACCAACAGGGAUUACCUCAGUAACGGCGAGUGAAGCGGUAACAGCUCAAAUUUGAAAGCUGCCAACAGGCCGCGUUGUAAUUUGUAGAAGAUGCUUUGGGUGUUGGCUUGGUCUAAGUUCCUUGGAACAGGACGUCAUAGAGGGUGAGAAUCCCGUACGUGACUGGUGCCAGCAUCCGUGUAAAGCUCUUUCGACGAGUCGAGUUGUUUGGGAAUGCAGCUCAAAAUUGGUGGUAAAUUUCAUCUAAAGCUAAAUAUUGGCCAGAGACCGAUAGCGCACAAGUAGAGUGAUCGAAAGAUGAAAAGCACUUUGGAAAGAGAGUUAAACAGUACGUGAAAUUGUUGAAAGGGAAGCGCUUGCAAUCAGACUUGCAGGCGGUCGAUCAUCCGAGGUUCUCCCCGGUGCACUCGAUCGUCUUCAGGCCAGCAUCGGUUUCGGUGGUGGGAUAAAGGCUGUGGGAAUGUGGCUCUUCGGAGUGUUAUAGCCCACGGUGCAAUGCUGCCUACCGGGACCGAGGACCGCGCUUCGGCUAGGAUGCUGGCGUAAUGGUUGUAAGCGACCCGUCUUGAAACACGGACCAAGGAGUCUAACAUCUAUGCGAGUGUUUGGGUGUCAAACCCAUACGCGUAAUGAAAGUGAACGGAGGUGAGAGCCCUUUAGGGCGCAUCAUCGACCGAUCCUGAUGUCUUCGGAUGGAUUUGAGUAAGAGCAUAGCUGUUGGGACCCGAAAGAUGGUGAACUAUGCGUGAAUAGGGUGAAGCCAGAGGAAACUCUGGUGGAGGCUCGCAGCGGUUCUGACGUGCAAAUCGAUCGUCAAAUUUGCGUAUAGGGGCGAAAGACUAAUCGAACCAUUGGAACACUACUAGGUGGUUAAGAGAGAAACACAUCUAGUCCGCUACGGCGGGCAACACUCUCCAAUUGCGGGGACGUCCUGUUAGGGUAUC